UACGGAGGAUCCAAGCGUUAUCCGGAUUUAUUGGGUUUAAAGGGUGCGUAGGCGGCCUGUUAAGUCAGGGGUGAAAGACGGUAGCUCAACUAUCGCAGUGCCCUUGAUACUGAUGGGCUUGAAUACACUAGAGGUAGGCGGAAUGUGACAAGUAGCGGUGAAAUGCAUAGAUAUGUCACAGAACACCGAUUGCGAAGCAGCUUACUAUGGUGUCAUUGACGCUGAGGCACGAAAAGCGUGGGGAUCAAACAGG
This 253-nucleotide ribosomal RNA is filed under the name uncultured bacterium. Its description in RNAcentral is "partial 16S ribosomal RNA". It matches the Rfam family "Bacterial small subunit ribosomal RNA", at positions 524 to 776 of the family's 1533-position model. The record is from RNAcentral.